Molecule: non-coding RNA, 24 nt
Filed under: Mus musculus (house mouse)
Lineage: Eukaryota; Metazoa; Chordata; Mammalia; Rodentia; Muridae
Also listed under: 1 other name
Source: RNAcentral
AAUCCUUGCUAUCUGGGUGCUUAG